RNAcentral lists this small nucleolar RNA (91 nucleotides) under Fonsecaea pedrosoi CBS 271.37. Lineage: Eukaryota; Fungi; Ascomycota; Eurotiomycetes; Chaetothyriales; Herpotrichiellaceae. The record is from RNAcentral.
AUCUUAUGAUGAUCAAAGGUUUUUAUCAAACAGUUCUGCUUCUGAUAUCCCUUGAAGAAAGCAUUACCAAGCUUACCAUAUUGUCUGACUU